This 465-nucleotide ribosomal RNA is filed under the name uncultured bacterium. RNAcentral's name for it is "partial 16S ribosomal RNA". It matches the Rfam family "Bacterial small subunit ribosomal RNA", at positions 338 to 795 of the family's 1533-position model. The record is from RNAcentral.
CCUACGGGGGGCAGCAGUGGGGAAUAUUGCGCAAUGGGCGAAAGCCUGACGCAGCGACGCCGCGUGAGGGAUGAAGGUCUUCGGAUCGUAAACCUCUGUCAGCAGGGAAGAACGGUCACUGUGCUAAUCAGCAGUGAAUUGACGGUACCUGCAAAGGAAGCAGCGGCUAACUCCGUGCCAGCAGCCGGGGUAAUACGGAGGGUGCGGGCGGUAAUCGGAAAUAAUGGGCGUAAAGGGCUUGUUGGCGGUAUGUGAAGGCAAGGGUGAAAUCCCCGCGCUCAACGUGGGAACUGCCUUUGAAACUGGCAAACUAGAGUGUGUCAGAGGAUAGUGGAAUUCCAGGUGUAGGAGUAAAAUCCGUAGAUAUCUGGAAGAACAUCAGUGGCGAAGGCGACUAUCUGGCACAUAACUGACGCUGAGGAGCGAAAGCGUGGGUAGCAAACAGGAUUAGAUACCCGAGUAGUC